CAGCUGCCUCCUCGCCUGUCCUCCGCUCCCUGUUGUCGUCCGUGUCGCCUCUUGGCGAAGCGGCUGAGACUGGAGGGGGAGGACCGAGGAGAGGAGAAGGGCAGGAUGGAUGGAUUGCCUUUCUCCCUCCAGCCCGUGCAUGCCCUCCCUGGGGGGCGGAUGUCUCUGAUCUGAGGAUGAUGGCAAGGGAAUAUGGCUGGUGUUUGAUGAUGCUGGAGCUAGCGUUUAGGAUCCAGGAGGAUGGUAUGCCACUGCGUGGGCUGAGUUAGAAGGCGAAGUCGUUCGCAAUGAAUCCAUGGCAGCUUCGAUCAAGCACCUACUCACAGGCCACUCCUUGACGUGACUGAAGAGAGGCCUUUCCCAGCACUUGCCGAGGAGAGCAGAGCCCUGGAUUUACCUCCUGCACACCUGGGUACCCCAGCACAAGCACCCUGAGAUUCCAAUGACAGAUGGAUCUCUCUCGUGCACACUUGCUCUUUCCCUCUCUGUAUUUUUGUUUUCGGCAUGUUUAAUCUGAAGCGCUGAAGCUUCUCAGAGAGAACCUGAGAGAGAAGGAAGAGAAGGAGGAGGAACCGAGGGAGCGUGAGCAAGAGAGGAGGCAUCCCUGCCUUGUUCUUUCGAAUCACACCGUGGA
Long non-coding RNA from Apus apus (common swift), 634 nucleotides. RefSeq lists it as uncharacterized. The transcript is spliced from 4 exons. NCBI's taxonomy places the organism in Eukaryota, Metazoa, Chordata, Aves, Apodiformes, Apodidae. The record is from RefSeq and is a predicted model, not a curated record.